AGAAUUGUGUGAGGGGCCAAAGGAGAGCAUGCUCUAGAGACAGACAAUUUUCAGAAGUUUCGUAUGGGGAUGGUUUUAUAUAAAUUCAGGUUUUUCCCACAAUAAUAAAUGUAUUUAGUCUCAGUGCUCAAUAGAAGAGAUUUCUAAUAGAAAAGGAUUCAAACUAUGAAACCAUUUCUCUUUUAAUGUUUCACAUUCCUGUUACAGAUUUGUUCUCUUGUGACUCUGUUAUCCAUAAUAUGGACAGAUCUUGAGUCCUAACAUUGAGAGGUUUUCCCUCAGUGCAUAGAGGGAAUGAGUAUUAAUUGGAGAAGCUUAGAGUAUUGCCACUUUAGCACUGAAGAUUGGGAUGAGAGGAGGUGAAACCUCACUAGAAAAAGGGACAAUGUUAGUGUGGCCCUUCCUGAUCAUGUUUAAGAAAAGUCAUGAAAAUGGUGAACUAGUGUUUCCAAGCAUAUUGGAAGGGUUAAGUGUAUACUGUCUGUCAAAGACUUCCAGCAUUUCCAGGUCCUAGAGAGGAACAAGACUGCACUUGGAUUCAGCUUCUUCAUUUCCAACAUGGAAGAAACUUACACCGACUCCCUGGACCCUGAGAAGCUAUUGCAAUGCCCCUAUGACAAAAACCAUCAAAUCAGGGCUUGCAGGUUUCCUUAUCAUCUUAUCAAGUGCAGAAAGAAUCAUCCUGAUGUUGCAAGCAAAUUGGCUACUUGUCCCUUCAAUGCUCGCCACCAGGUUCCUCGAGCUGAAAUUAGUCAUCAUAUCUCAAGCUGUGAUGACAGAAGUUGUAUUGAGCAAGAUGUUGUCAACCAAACCAGGAGCCUUAGACAAGAGACUCUGGCUGAGAGCACUUGGCAGUGCCCUCCUUGCGAUGAAGACUGGGAUAAAGAUUUGUGGGAGCAGACCAGCACCCCAUUUGUCUGGGGCACAACUCACUACUCUGACAACAACAGCCCUGCAAGCAACAUAGUUACAGAACAUAAGAAUAACCUGGCUUCAGGCAUGCGAGUUCCCAAAUCUCUGCCGUAUGUUCUGCCAUGGAAAAACAAUUCAGAUUCUCUUGAUUUCAGUCUGUGCUACUGUUUGAGCUAAUUUUUAGGUGGCUAGAGGAUUCACUUUAAAACGUUUCUCCCUGGAUACUUGCAUUUCCCAAAAAAUGAAGUCACCAAAUUAUAUGUCAAAAGGCUUGAUGGAAAUGCACAGUAACUGAAUACCUAUCUCAUCAAAUGCCAGACCCUAGAAGACUCUUGCUUCUUCCUUCUACCAGUGGGUUCUCAUUUUCCUCCUAAUCUAAUUAUAGAAUGGUAAACUCUCUGUGACUUUCCAAACUGACAAGCACACUUUUUUCCUCCCCCCUUGAAUCCUCAUUUAAUGCAAGAACCCUCAUACUCAGAAGCUUCCAAAUAAACCUUUGAUACAGAUUG
RNA transcript from Pan troglodytes (chimpanzee), 1421 nucleotides. It is a transcript of the gene named gametocyte specific factor 1, with no coding region annotated. The transcript has 10 exons. NCBI's taxonomy places the organism in Eukaryota, Metazoa, Chordata, Mammalia, Primates, Hominidae. The record is from RefSeq and is a predicted model, not a curated record.